GACGAACGCUGGCGGCGUGCUUAACACAUGCCAGUCGAACGGAAAGGCCUGCUUUCCCUUGUGGAUUGCGGGUACUCGAGUGGCGAACGGGUGAGUAACACGUGAGCGAUCUGCCCCCAACUUGGGUAUAAGCCUGGGAAACUGGGUCUAAUUCCCGAUAGGACUGCAGGGUGGUGCCUGUGGUGGAAAACGAUUUUCUAGUGGUUGGGGAUGAGCUCGCGGCCUAUCAGCUUGUUGGUGGGGUAAUGGCCUACCAAGGCGGCGACGGGUAGCCGGCCUGAGAGGGUGGACGGCCACAUUGGGACUGAGAUACGGCCCAGACUCCUACGGGAGGCAGCAGUGGGGAAUAGUGCACAAUGGGCGGAAGCCUGAUGCAGCGACGCCGCGUGGGGGAUGACGGCCUUCGGGUUGUAAACUCCUUUCGACCGCGAGGAAGCCACCUGGUUGGAAGGGUGGUGACGGUAGUGGGAGAAGAAGCACCGGCUAACUACGUG
This 494-nucleotide ribosomal RNA is filed under the name uncultured bacterium. Its description in RNAcentral is "partial 16S ribosomal RNA". It matches the Rfam family "Bacterial small subunit ribosomal RNA", at positions 28 to 507 of the family's 1533-position model. The record is from RNAcentral.